CUGUCUCAUAAUCACCACCAAUCGUUUUCGAGCGCACUGCUCACGCUCGGCUGCGACCCCGCCCCCUCCGUUACCGCGUCGAACAACAGCAAAAAAAAAAGAGAAUACGCCUGGGACGGUUCAGCUGUGUUUCUCAGCAUCAACAGUCGCGUCUUGCGUUCUCCCUUUAGCACGAUUGUCUCUCGUUUUUCCCCUUUCGUCGCCGCGAUGAGUGACCGUGACGUACCGGCCUCGAUGACGAGGACCUGCGCGCCGGAUGAGGUUCACUUCCUCUUCUGCUCCACCGACGCACGGGAUGCGGCUCCUGCUAGCACCGGUGAUGUCGCGAAGCUGCCCGCGCCAAAGAAGCCCAUUUCGGCCCCGCUCGCGUCUUUUCACUCUCUGGUGGACACGCACCGUGGUCGUCGUGCUAGCCGCCACGCGUCACCGCCGCGCCAGCUGGGACGCCCGCUUCCGCCGACGCAGCCGAGCUUCAGCGAUGUGGCAAAGCGUGUGGGCUCUUUCAACGACAUGUGCGAGGCGAACUCGCUGUUGAGCUCCCACAUGCGCUUAGGCGAGAUGUCCACUCUGGGCAUCUCGGCAAGCACCUCCACCAUGCCCGCUGGCUGCAGUGUCAGCACCACCUCACUCCACUGGCUUCGCAUCGCAGAAGAUCGAGUCAUGCCACAUCCGAGCAGCACCAAGCCAGCGCCGGCGGCUCUGCAGCGAAAUGCGGAGUAUGUGCUCGAGCGGUGGGUGGAGCAGAAGGUGCAUCGCACCGCCGCCAUGGAUGACGCCAUGCUGAAGGUGGCUGCCGCUUUUGAUGAGCUAUACGCCUAAGACGCACCGAAACGAAUAAGGCUGAUACGGAAAGCCCAAUGUCUGUGUUUUUUUUUUUACUUUGCGCAUGUGUGCGUGUGUGUGUGUGUAUCCUCCUGGCGAUGUCAUUUUUUGUUAAUGUGCCGCAUCUUUUUGUUGUGUUCUCCUUUUCGUCGCGCUCUGCGCUUGCUGGGCCUGCCUUUCCAUAUGUCGCCUCAGUAUGUUUGCGCAGUGCUUUCAUGGACCUUGUCUACGCGUGCUCCCUCUCCUGCAUCUUUGUUUUUGGACCUUGCUUCGCUCUCUUGUCGUUGUUGCAGUGCCAAGACUGUCUUCGUUCUACCCUUUGCCAACGCUCUGGCGCCAAACUUCAUGCUGCAGAGGGAGGUGGUCGCCAACGGCCCGCUUCCGCUCUCGCCGCGCUCCUCACUUGUUUCCAUUUUCGCCAUCGGAGAGACCAUACAUAGCUAUAUACGCCAAUGACGCAAAGCCCCCUUUCGCACAACUUCCCCGGCAAGCGAGAUUUCUCCCCGCCUUCCUUCGUCGCUGCCUGGAACUUCGUCUUCUUUGUUUUUGCUUGUUCCGCUCCCCUUUUUGGUGCUCUCGUUUCCCGCUAUUCCUUUUUUGGUGCUUCAGCCACUGAAACACACACACACACACACACGCAAGUGAGACCCUCUGCCGCCCCUCCCCCUCCCCUGCCCCUCUUUUCCCUCCUCAUCGCUUCCGUGGUACUCCGCAUUCCGCCAAGGCAACCGGAGGCCAUUAUGCCGCGUCUCUCGCCUUCUAUUUCUUUCUGCAGCUCACGUCGGUACUCUUUGCCUGUAAGCAUGUCGUUUGCGAUGCACACACACACACACGCACAUGCACGUGUGUAUAUCUCUAUAUAUAUGCAAAUGUAUACAUAUAUCUCUAUAUAUCUGUAUACAUAUCGAUAUAUCUAUAUCUUCAUCAUCGUUGAUGUCAUACGAUUUCGUGGGUUAAUCGGUCAGUGACGCACCCCUACCCUGUGCCUUCUUUUAUUUGUGCAUCGCCUUUGCGUGUCUUCCGGCUUCGGGCGCCACACGUCUCGGCCUGCACCCCGCGUGCUCUGCGCACUACUUUGACUGUGCAGUGUGUGUGUGUGUGUGUGUGUGCUUUGGUUCUCUUGUGAUGAGCGACGGAUUGUCUUUUUUGGGGGGUUUCGGCUCUCUGGCGCACAACGCCAUGAAUGCUUGCCGAGUGAUGCCUCUGUAGUAGUAUUCUUUCGUCUUGCCUGACACGUCUGCCGGCGUGCGUGCUUCGAUAGAGUUGUGCGUGAGCGAUGCGUUUGCCUUGCGACAGGCGUGUGGACACGAUGAGCGAAAGAGACCCGCGCGCCGCUGUUUGGGAGGAGAGGGAGGCGGCGAAAGGCCAAAGUAUCCCUUUUUUAUCUCUGGCGUGGCGCAUUCUGUUGUCAUGGAGUAGGUGCCUCUUUGCAUGCCUCACCUGCGCAUGCCUUCAUGAGCCAUCCAGCACUCUCACUCCGUUACCCACUUCCUUUUCCUACCUCUCAUCAGCACUCCGUCGUUCAUUCUGUGAAUUGUAGUUGUCUGAUUCUUCUAGCGCCGCCGUUCACUUUCUCUGGCUUCUGUAUGUAGUACUAGCUUCUCUCUCUUGUAGGCUUGAUAUGUUUAUUCCUCUCCCUCAGCAUGGUGUGCGUGUUGCGUUGUGCCCUCACCGCUCACAGCGCAGACUCUCGCACCUGAUGCUUCGAUCGACCGUUUCUUCUUUUGUUUUUGCUUUUGUUUGAUUGUUCCGUUAUGAGCUCGUGACCCCGCCUCCAACAAUUUUUCGUUUUCUUGUCUGUUUUGUAUAGCUCGAUGUCGUCCCUUGUAUCGCUUCGCUUGUUUCGGCUUCCGCCUCCUCUCUGUCUCGCGCUAGCUUUCUUUCUUGGAUACCGUUGCUGUCAGUCGACGGCAAUGCAGCGACUCACUUCGAUACACAUAAACGAGUCGCUGUCGCCUGCCCCUCCAUCCCUCCUCCCUCCCCGCUUUCCGCCUCUGCUAUCGCAUUUCUAUACCCAGCGAUGUCUUUUUGGUUCAGCUCGUAUCCGCUUCCCCCUCCCCUACUCCGUGAGUGGCCGUGUCGCCCGCCUUUCGUUUUUUUCUUUUGUUCAACUCGCUCUGCGUUUCAUUUCAGGCAUCUAGUAGAAAGAUGAACAGUCACACUGUCCUGAGUCGCGUGGGCAUGUGCGCGUUGAGGCCCUCUUGCUCUCCCCCUCCCCCCUCUGCGAAGUGUCUGCCCUGCGAAGUACGUUCUUGCGCUCUGUUUUGCCGCAGAGCAUUCGUUUUGUGUAUUCACUCGCUCGUACGUGUUGCCUAGGAUAGAAGCUCUCUCCAUAUCGCACCCUUCGUCGUGGUCUGCCCGCAAGUGAUUGCUGUCUUUCAUUGCCCCCCCCCCCACCCCGCGUCGUUUCACCUUUCCUCUUCCUCUAUUUUUUUUUGUUUUCCUCCUCUUCGUUGCGUGCGCGGUUGUCUGUGUAUGUUUUCUGGACUGUUGAGCCAGUUCGUUCCGUCACUGCUCCUCGUUUCCAUCCUGCCCCACACCUCCCACUGCUCUUGCGCGCACCGCCUUCUACGUUGCGUUCUCGUUUUCUUUUUUUUCUCUGUUCAGCUGCGUCGUGCGUGUAUACACACGAAGCGAGCAGAGUGGAGGGAAUGUGAAAAGGGGCAUCAUGGAUGCCGAUCUGAGCCUCUCCCUGCUCUUUGCCGACACCGUGAAUGCUUCGUUGCAACCAGCGGUGCCUGAAUUACUAUCACUGUAUGACGCCGGUGUACACAUCAAGCUGGAAAACAUCAGUGUCGUUUCGCUUGCCGUGAGUAUGACUGACCGUGCCAUGCUGCGUGCAUCCGAGUGGCUGGAGAGAUGCGCAAGGGCCGAGCGGGUAGCGAUCACUUUUAUUUUUGGUUUCCCCUCGCUGUACGUUUUUUUGUGUUUGUUUGUUUCCUCCCGUCUCCAUCCGUGGUCUGGAAUUCUGCGCUCUGGCGGCAGCCGUUUUCCGUGGCACUUCUUCGUCACCUUUGGUUGUUCGUUCGCUUGCUUUCCUCUGUUAUGUGUUUCUUUUUCGGCUUUCUUCUCUUGUUCGCUGUGUUUUCCUAUCUUAGACAGACGUGGGAACAUAGUUGGGCACGAGAGGAGGGGGGGCAGCUGCGUGGUUGCGUUACCAACGCGCUCCGUCAGCAGGCGCCUCCGUUAUGUUUCGGAGGAUGUGCCGCUUAUUUCCUUGAUUUUUCACAGCCGUUUCUGCUUUGGGAGACGCAAAAACGGCUUACGCAUCACCUGCUCAACAUCAGUUUUUCCCCUAUCGCCCUCCGUGUCUCCUUUAGGCGUUGUCUGGGGGAGAGGGGGCUCACAAUGACGGCAUAGCGACGGCGACUUCACACAUGUGUUCCGCACUGCAGGGGAGCAGCAGUAUGCCUCGCUUAUGUUGGUGUCGACGGUUUUUUUCUGUUUUUUUUUUUGCUUUCCUGUUCUUUCCGUCUAUAGCUCGCUCUGUGUGUGUGUGUGUGUUGGGGGGGGCACUUGGGCGUAUGUGCACGUGGGACACUUCUCGGCAAUCAUUCACAAAAAAAAAAUAAACGAAAUAAAUCUCCGCUGGUGCGGUGCGGGCAAGCGGACGGAUCCUCAACGUGACGCGUCAACAGAGCUGAAUGCUGCAAACUCAUCCGCGUGACCAAAGUUUGAAAAAAUAAAACGAAAAGGCUGGUCUUUGCCGUUGAUGGGGGCCUCAGUGGGCACUCCCAACCGAAAGAGGCCGUGGGGUGAAUAAGUUGUGCCUCACAGAGAUGGAAAGAAAAGGAAGCAUAAUCGAAUGGCGUCGUCUGGCCUCACGAACAAGAGAAUCAGGAAGAAGUGACGGCGAUACCAACACGUCUGAAGCAGCUGUGCGGCUCCUAUCAUCUACGCGAUGCAGCCAGAACAGUUGGUAACGGUGUAGGGUCUCUGAAGACAGCCGCCCUUUAGGCGCACAUCCAGACUUGCUCUCCAUCACGGGCACAUGAUCACGCAAGUAACCCUCCUCUCCAAAGAAAAUAAACUCGUAAAGCCCGACUCCAAAGGAAACAGAAAAGAAAACAAAGAGCAAGCAGAACCCGUUGGAAAAGGUGCGAUGUUUGGCCGCCGACGUUCUUGCAGCUCCUUUCUUCAUGAGGACGCAUCGAAGCGAGAUAGCGGUGUCGGUGCGUGUGUUUGUGUCUUCCAUUCUUCCGGUUGUACGUUGUUCGCCUUCG
RNAcentral lists this unclassified non-coding RNA (5045 nucleotides) under Leishmania donovani. RNAcentral describes it as "gene:LdHU3.31.4480(CDS-product:hypothetical_prote in_conserved)". Lineage: Eukaryota; Euglenozoa; Kinetoplastea; Trypanosomatida; Trypanosomatidae. The record is from RNAcentral.